UACAGAGGUGGCAAGCGUUGUUCGGAAUUACUGGGCGUAAAGGGCGCGUAGGCGGUCUUGCAAGUCCUGUGUGAAAUCCCUCGGCUCAACUGAGGGACUGCACAGGAAACUGCUUGGCUUGAGUUCGGGAGAGGGAAGCGGAAUUCCGGGUGUAGCGGUGAAAUGCGUAGAUAUCGGGAGGAACACCUGCGAUGUAGAUGGCUUACUGGACCGUAACUGACGCUGAGGCACGAAAGCGUGGGUAGCAAACAGG
This 253-nucleotide ribosomal RNA is filed under the name uncultured bacterium. RNAcentral describes it as "partial 16S ribosomal RNA". It matches the Rfam family "Bacterial small subunit ribosomal RNA", at positions 524 to 776 of the family's 1533-position model. The record is from RNAcentral.